RNAcentral lists this ribosomal RNA (434 nucleotides) under uncultured bacterium. RNAcentral describes it as "partial 16S ribosomal RNA". It matches the Rfam family "Bacterial small subunit ribosomal RNA", at positions 29 to 507 of the family's 1533-position model. The record is from RNAcentral.
AGCGAACGCUGGCGGCAGGCCUAACACAUGCAAGUCGAACGAACCUUUCGGGGUUAGUGGCGGACGGGUGAGUAACACGUGGGAACGUGCCUUUAGGUUCGGAAUAACUCAGGGAAACUUGUGCUAAUACCGAAUGUGCCCUUCGGGGGAAAGAUUUAUCGCCUUUAGAGCGGCCCGCGUCUGAUUGGCUAGUUGGUUGAGGUAAUGGCUCACCAAGGCGACGAUCAGUAGCUGGUCUGAGAGGAUGAUCAGCCACAUUGGGACUGAGACACGGCCCAAACUCCUACGGGAGGCAGCAGUGGGGAAUCUUGCGCAAUGGGCGAAAGCCUGACGCAGCCAUGCCGCGUGAAUGAUGAAGGUCUUAGGAUUGUAAAAUUCUUUCACCGGGGACGAUAAUGACGGUACCCGGAGAAGAAGCCCCGGCUAACUUCGUG